Long non-coding RNA from Perognathus longimembris pacificus (Pacific pocket mouse), 273 nucleotides. RefSeq lists it as uncharacterized. The record is from RefSeq and is a predicted model, not a curated record. NCBI's taxonomy places the organism in Eukaryota, Metazoa, Chordata, Mammalia, Rodentia, Heteromyidae. The transcript is spliced from 3 exons.
CUUCAAAGAAGAGUUCACCCAAGUCAUGGGAACAGUCAGAAACCAACAGAACGGUUGCUUAUGGAACCCCACCUGGCUUCUCUGGCCAGAUUGCAGCUUUCGCCACUGAUGACAGCUGGACACGUGACCCUAAUUGGUCAGAGCCUAACAAAAGCUUCCCCCCCCCUUUCAAUUUGCUAUAUUUUGUUGCAAGAUGCUAUCUUAAUAACAUGUUGGGUUUGGUUCAUAGGCAGAAGGGGAAUAAAGUCACAGAGGAGGUGAGGCGGGGAAGGG